This 3004-nucleotide ribosomal RNA is filed under the name Salmonella enterica subsp. arizonae. RNAcentral's name for it is "bacterial LSU rRNA". It matches the Rfam family "Bacterial large subunit ribosomal RNA". The record is from RNAcentral. Lineage: Bacteria; Pseudomonadati; Pseudomonadota; Gammaproteobacteria; Enterobacterales; Enterobacteriaceae.
UUAAGCGACCAAGCGUACACGGUGGAUGCCCUGGCAGUCAGAGGCGAUGAAGGACGUGCUAAUCUGCGAAAAGCGCCGGUAAGGUGAUAUGAACCGUUAUAACCGGCGAUGUCCGAAUGGGGAAACCCAGUGUGACUCGUCACACUAUCAUUAACUGAAUCCAUAGGUUAAUGAGGCGAACCGGGGGAACUGAAACAUCUAAGUACCCCGAGGAAAAGAAAUCAACCGAGAUUCCCCCAGUAGCGGCGAGCGAACGGGGAGGAGCCCAGAGCCUGAAUCAGCAUGUGUGUUAGUGGAAGCGUCUGGAAAGGCGCGCGAUACAGGGUGACAGCCCCGUACACAAAAGCGCAUGUGCUGUGAGCUCGAUGAGUAGGGCGGGACACGUGGUAUCCUGUCUGAAUAUGGGGGGACCAUCCUCCAAGGCUAAAUACUCCUGACUGACCGAUAGUGAACCAGUACCGUGAGGGAAAGGCGAAAAGAACCCCGGCGAGGGGAGUGAAACAGAACCUGAAACCGUGUACGUACAAGCAGUGGGAGCCCCACCACUAAGCCAGUGGUGAACUCCACAUACGCAUCCUUUGCGGAAGAUACGGUUAACGGAGCGAAAGCGACGUUCAACCGCAAAAGAAGCAGAGGGGGCUUAGUGGUGGGGUGACUGCGUACCUUUUGUAUAAUGGGUCAGCGACUUAUAUUCUGUAGCAAGGUUAACCGUAUAGGGGAGCCGGAGGGAAACCGAGUCUUAACCGGGCGUUAAGUUGCAGGGUAUAGACCCGAAACCCGGUGAUCUAGCCAUGGGCAGGUUGAAGGUUGGGUAACACUAACUGGAGGACCGAACCGACUAAUGUUGAAAAAUUAGCGGAUGACCUGUGGCUGGGGGUGAAAGGCCAAUCAAACCGGGGAGAUAGCUGGUUCUCCCCGAAAGCUAUUUAGGUAGCGCCUCGUGAAUUCAUCUCCGGGGGUAGAGCACUGUUUCGGCCAGGGGCCAUCCCGGCUUACCAACCCGAUGCAAACUGCGAAUACCGGAGAAUGUUAUCACGGGAGACACACGGCGGGUGCUAACGUCCGUCGUGAAGAGGGAAACAACCCAGACCGCCAGCUAAGGUCCCAAAGUCAUGGUUAAGUGGGAAACGAUGUGGGAAGGCCCAGACAGCCAGGAUGUUGGCUUAGAAGCAGCCAUCAUUUAAAGAAAGCGUAAUAGCUCACUGGUCGAGUCGGCCUGCGCGGAAGAUGUAACGGGGCUAAACCAUGCACCGAAGCUGCGGCAGCGACACUGUGUGUUGUUGGGUAGGGGAGCGUUCUGUAAGCCUGCGAAGGUGUGCUGUGAGGCAUGCUGGAGGUAUCAGAAGUGCGAAUGCUGACAUAAGUAACGAUAAUGCGGUGAAAAACCCGCACGCCGGAAGACCAAGGGUUCCUGUCCAACGUUAAUCGGGGCAGGGUGAGUCGACCCCUAAGGCGAGGCCGAAAGGCGUAGUCGAUGGGAAACGGGUUAAUAUUCCCGUACCUGGUGUUACUGCGAAGGGGGGACGGAGAAGGCUAUGUUGGCCGGGCGACGGUUGUCCCGGUUUAAGCGUGUAGGUGUGUGUUCCAGGAAAAUCCGGUUCACUUUAACACUGAGGCGUGACGACGAGGCACUACGGUGCUGAAGCAACAAAUGCCCUGCUUCCAGGAAAAGCCUCUAAGCCUCAGGUAACAUCAGAUCGUACCCGAAACCGACACAGGUGGUCAGGUAGAGAAUACCAAGGCGCUUGAGAGAACCCGGGUGAAGGAACUAGGCAAAAUGGUGCCGUAACUUCGGGAGAAGGCACGCUGACAUGUAGGUGAAGCGGUUUACCCGUGGAGCUGAAGUCAGUCGAAGAUACCAGCUGGCUGCAACUGUUUAUUAAAAACACAGCACUGUGCAAACACGAAAGUGGACGUAUACGGUGUGACGCCUGCCCGGUGCCGGAAGGUUAAUUGAUGGGGUCAGCGCAAGCGAAGCUCCUGAUCGAAGCCCCGGUAAACGGCGGCCGUAACUAUAACGGUCCUAAGGUAGCGAAAUUCCUUGUCGGGUAAGUUCCGACCUGCACGAAUGGCGUAAUGAUGGCCAGGCUGUCUCCACCCCGGGACUCAGUGAAAUUGAACUCGCUGUGAAGAUGCAGUGUACCCGCGGCAAGACGGAAAGACCCCGUGAACCUUUACUAUAGCUUGACACUGAACACUGGUCCUUGAUGUGCAGGAUAGGUGGGAGGCUUUGAAGUGUGGACGCCAGUCUGCAUGGAGCCGUCCUUGAAAUACCACCCUUUAAUGGCUGGUGUUCUAACGUAGACCCGUGAACCGGGUUGCGGACAGUGUCUGGUGGGUAGUUUGACUGGGGCGGUCUCCUCCUAAAGCGUAACGGAGGAGCACGAAGGUUGGCUAAUCCUGGUCGGACAUCAGGAGGUUAGUGCAAUGGCAUAAGCCAGCUUGACUGCGAGCGUGACGGCGCGAGCAGGUGCGAAAGCAGGUCAUAGUGAUCCGGUGGUUCUGAAUGGAAGGGCCAUCGCUCAACGGAUAAAAGGUACUCCGGGGAUAACAGGCUGAUACCGCCCAAGAGUUCAUAUCGACGGCGGUGUUUGGCACCUCGAUGUCGGCUCAUCACAUCCUGGGGCUGAAGUAGGUCCCAAGGGUAUGGCUGUUCGCCAUUUAAAGUGGUACGCGAGCUGGGUUUAGAACGUCGUGAGACAGUUCGGUCCCUAUCUGCCGUGGGCGCUGGAGAACUGAGGGGGGCUGCUCCUAGUACGAGAGGACCGGAGUGGACGCAUCACUGGUGUUCGGGUUGUCAUGCCAAUGGCACUGCCCGGUAGCUAAAUGCGGAAGAGAUAAGUGCUGAAAGCAUCUAAGCACGAAACUUGCCCUGAGAUGAGUUCUCCCUGAGACUACAAGUCUCCUGAAGGAACGUUGAAGACGACGACGUUGAUAGGCCGGGUGUGUAAGCGCAGCGAUGCGUUGAGCUAACCGGUACUAAUGAACCGUGAGGCUUAACCUU